RNAcentral lists this ribosomal RNA (257 nucleotides) under uncultured soil bacterium. RNAcentral's name for it is "partial 16S ribosomal RNA". It matches the Rfam family "Bacterial small subunit ribosomal RNA", at positions 26 to 284 of the family's 1533-position model. The record is from RNAcentral.
AGGACGAACGCUGGCGGCGUGCUUAACACAUGCAAGUCGAGGGGGCAGUUGGGGCAACCUGGCUGUCACCGGCGAACGGGUGCGUAACACGUGAGCGACCUACCUCUUGGCGGGGGAUAGCCGGCCCAACGGCCGGGUAAUACCGCAUACGCUCCCUUUUGGGCAUCUGGAGGGGAGGAAACUUUCGAGGCAGAGAGAGGGGCUCGCGGCCUAGUCAGCUAGUUGGCGGGUAACGGCCCACCAAGGCAUCGACGGGU